UUCAAUCAUUUGAUUAAUUCAUUUGAAGCUCUCAUUGUUUUUUAUUUUAGCGUUGAUUGCGUAUACGACGAGAUCGAGAAAUCAAUUCAUCAUGGCGAGCCGAACGGAUGAUCUAGUGAGCCCAGUCCAACCAGCUCACCAGCUCGACCUCGAUGCUUUGCUCCGUUACGCCUCCGAUAACGUCCCUGGCUUCCCGCGCUCUCCUUCUAAAUUCACUAUUUCUCAGGUAUUUGUUUAUUUUUAAUUUAUUUAUUUAUCUGUGUUUUUGAAUUUUAAUUAUUUAUUUAUUUUGCUUUUAGUUUGGACAUGGACAAUCGAACCCGACGUUUCUUAUGGAAGUAGGUUCCGGAGCGGCAGUGAAACGGUACGUUUUGAGGAAGAAGCCUGCCGGUAAAUUGCUCGAGUCUGCUCACGCUGUGGAUCGAGAGUUUCAGGUGGCAUUUCUGUAAUGUUUUACAUGCAUACAUAAUUGCGCAGACUUGAAUAUAUCAUUAAAUGUCACAUUUAUCGAUUAUUUAUGCAUAUAACAAUUAUAUAUAACAAAAUUCAAGUAGAAUUUUGAAUCUUUCGAUGUGACAGGUUCUUCGGGCGUUAGGUGAUCAUACAGUAGUUCCAGUUCCUAAAGUGUUCUGUUUGUGUAAUGAUCCUAAUGUUAUUGGAACUGCAUUUUACAUCAUGGAAUUUUUGGAAGGACGGAUUUUUAUUGACUCAAAGUUGCCUGUAAUGCACUCUUUCUCUUUAGUCUCUUACUUGAUGAGUUGAUAGUCAAAUUGAAUUAGUGUAAGAAUUUGUCUUUGGCUUGAAAUUUUGGAUUUUGGUGUUGAUAUGUCUGAUUAGGGUGUGCCACCGGAGAGGAGAAGAGCUAUAUAUCGAGCAACUGCAAAAACAUUAGCUUCUAUUCAUUCGGCUAAUGUGGAUAUGAUUGGACUGGGUAAAUAUGGGAGGCGAGACAACUACUGUAGACGGCAGGUUCUUGAAUUCUUUUUGAAAGUUUUAGCUAAUUUAGUGCUUUGUAAUUUAUUUGCUUUAAAGCAAAGAACUUGAAUUUACAGCUUAGAAUAUGAAGUUGCACUGUAGAAGCUGUAAAUUUAGAAAAAGAGAGAGAACUUAUAAUAUCUUGCAACUAAGUGGCACUUUUGAUUUUUACUUUUUGUUUAGAUAGAAAGGUGGGCUAAACAAUAUACUGCUUCAACUGCUGAGGGUAAGCCUGCAAGUAAUCCCAAAAUGUUUCAGCUGAUUGAUUGGUUACGGCAGAAUAUUCCCCCUGAAGAUUCAUCUGGAGUAGCAGCAGGCAUAGUUCAUGGGGAUUUUCGAAUUGAUAAUCUUGUAUUUCAUCCUAUUGAGGUCUGGAACUCCUAAAUUCCUUUGUUAACUUAUAUUCAAAGAUUUUUCUCUAACAUAGCUAUCUGUGUGGUUUAAAUAUAUGUCAUUAAUUUAAUUAUGAUCACUCAUUAUUGUAAAACAUUAGCUCUAUGAGUUGCAACUCUUGCUUUUUCUUGUAAAAUGAAAUAUAGAAUGUGUGGUUGUUUAUACUUGUGUUGAAUGAAAGCUCAAUUUUAACAUAUAUUUCUGAAUAGCUUAUAUAGUCCAAGUUGCACUUUUGAUAAUAACAUCUUAAUGCAGGAUCGCGUGAUUGGUAUUCUCGACUGGGAAUUAUCUACUCUUGGAAACCAGAUGUCUGAUGUCGCAUACUGUUGUCUGGUACUAAGUCAAUUCUCAACUUUAGUUUCUGUCGUGGAAAGAGCUAUACCCUCUUGCUUUGUUCCUUAUGUAGCACAGGCCAUUCUGUUGACACAUAAUAUUCCUUUUAAUGUAUGAGGGGUUUGUUCGGGGCCACCUUUAUGGUAAUUACUUAUUCCCUUUCUCGGCAGCCUUAUACUGUGGUUAUUGGGCAGAACAAACAUCUGGAUGCAGGUUUUGAAGUUACUGGAAUUCCAGAAGGGAUUCCCUCACAGGCCGAAUUUCUGGAUGACUACUGUUCUGCAUCUGUAAGACACAUGUCUAACACUGAUUAAACUGUGGUACUUGUGUACAGUUCCGCACACUCUCUGUCCCCUUUUUGUCCUCUUAUGAUGAAAUUCUGGCGAUAUUUUGAAAAUUAUUUAUUUUUUAUUAUUUUGAUUUCCUCGGUUUUGUUUUAAUAUUUUCAAAAGGCUAUAAGUAUGGAUCAUGAUAAUUCAGUUUUCUGGGACUCAUGAUUUCACAAUGUUUUGUCAAGAAAAUAUGCACCACUUGCUCAUCUUAUGGAAAGUGAUGUCUAUCAAAUAUAUUGCACUACUAAAGCAUGUAAACGAGGGGAUACUGGCUGAUAAUAAUGAAUUAAUCUAUCUUAAAUAUAGUAAGGAUGAUUGGUAAGGUUUGAUUUUUUACAUGCUCUCAAGGUUUUGCUAAUUUUCAGAUGAUCUUUUCUCCCUUGUAAAUGUGAUGGUUAUUCUAGAAUUCUCAUCGGUGUUAUCCUCCUACCUUAUUAAGGACUGACUUAUACUAUGAAUGUUGAAAUGUAGGGAAAACCAUGGCCCGCCAAGGUGUGGAAAUUCUAUGUUGCAUUUGCUUUAUUCCGUGGGGCAUCAAUUUACACAGGCGUAUAUAACAGAUGGCUGCUGGUAUUCAGUGAUGAGAAAGAGCUUGAUGCUUGAGAAUUAAGUGCUACAAAAAGCUUUUGUGUUGAAAUAUCAGGCCACUUAUAAGAUAUUUCUAUUUACUGUGACCUUGCAGGGUAAUGCUUCAGGAGGUGAACGUGCCCGAUAUUUAGGAAAUCAUGCCAAUGAGCUUAUAAAUUUUGCUAUGGAUUUUAUUGCACAGAAAUCUGUGCUUCCAGAGUAUCCUCCAUCUGGUAAUUUAAUCAUUCAAAAGUAUAUUUGGACCUGAGGAUACCAAUACUUUUACACAACAUACUUUGCUUCGUAUACGAACUUUGUAUGGUAUGGAAAUAAUGGACAUGCACUACAGUGUUUGUUUCUGUUUUUAACCACAUAAUUUACUAUGUUUUCAUAGUUCUAUAAAACAUGAUGUAGGACGUUACUAGAAGAUUUUAGGAUUUUAAUUAUUUUAGAACAUUUUAAUUUUUGCCAUUUUAAUUAGCGUCUUACUAGGUAUGUACUAGGUAUGUGUCUAGCGUUUUAUUUCUAGUUUAAUUGUGAUGUAGUUUCCCUAUUUAAGUUAACUUGGAGAAUUAUAUUUACCCUAUUGUAAAUAGAGAGAUCUUGUCGUUGUUUUUCCUAAACUAUUUCGAUUGGAAAAACCCCUCUUUUAUAAUUUGGAUUAUCUAUCAAAAUCUUUCUUAUAGAGUUGUUUGAAUUAGAGCGUUAUCUAAUCUCAUUGUAAAACAUUAAUAUCAAAAUCUUGUUACACUGUCAACUCAUUUAGAUUAUAACGAAUCUAAUAUCGCUUUGACUAGAGCAAUAAACUAAUUGCAUCGGCUAGACCAUUAUUGGAACAAUAUCUAGUGUUUAUCUACCCUAUCAAUCCGCUUCUGCUAUCACGCAUCAUAUUUUAUUGGCAUUCAUAUAGAGGGAGAGUUAUAAAGCCUAGAUUAUCUAACGAACAAUGAUUAUUUGCUGUGCGGCACAGAGGUAUUAUAACUUUCCUUUAUCAUGGCUGUAGUAUAUUCAAAGAUCAUCAUUCCUUGCCUGCUAUUUGAUUUAUUGUAUGCAAAACAAUUAGCCUAAAGUAAUUUUAUUCAACUUAUGCAAUUUUAGUUGCACAAGCAGAUGCAAAACAAUUUGGAAACGGGAACAAAAUUCAAAACAUUCUAGACGAAAGAGGAAGGUUUGUUCCCAGCCAAAGGGUUCUGGAACUGAGAAACAAAUUGAUUAAGUUCAUGGAAGAUUACAUAUAUCCCAAUGAAAAAGAAUUUGAAAAACUUGCUCAGUCUGAUGCACGCUGGACGAUUCACCCAGAGGAGGAGAGGUUAAAGGAGCUGGCAAGGAAAGAGGGGUUAUGGAACUUAUGGAUACCAGUAUGUUUCCAUAUCUGCUCCUGGUCAUAUUUCUUUGUUUCUGAUUUCUGUAUUUUCCUUUACCCUUGCUACUCUUCUUAGCUAAAAAGAGGGUGGUUGUUGCUAAUUAAUUUGUUUUCUGUGAAUAUUCGUUUUAAUUGCAGUUUGACAGUGCUGCCAGGGCAAGAAAGUUAAUCUUUGGUGAGGGUCCAAAUCCUAUUUCUGAUGGUGGACGUGAUCUCUUAUUCGGGGCAGGCCUCUCAAACCUUGAAUAUGGGUACCUAUGUGAGAUCAUGGGUCGUUCAUUUUGGGCUCCACAGAUCUUUAAUUGUAGUGCACCUGACACAGGAAAUAUGGAGGUAAAUAUUAUUUCCAGGUUUGUUAGAAUCUCAGGAGCAAUCAUUUUCUGUUGCCACCAUGUUGCCCUUCCUCUUUCAUUUUUGAAAGUGCCAUUUCUAUUUGCCUAAGAAGCUUUACUCUUGGUAAUGACAGUUGUCACUUUCGGAGUCUUAUUAUUAUUUUGAGAAAUACUUUUAUGAGCUCUUGUAAUCUGCACAAUGCCCGGAAGGAUGACAUGGUUUAUUUUUCUGCAUAUAUCAUCUUCAAGUUUGUUGGGUCUGAUUAUUAUGCUUAAGCAUUUGAUUCUAGGUACUAUUGCGAUAUGGAAAUAAAGAACAACUAGAAGAAUGGCUUAUUCCAUUGCUCGAGGGGAAGAUUCGGUCUGCAUUUGCAAUGACAGAACCGCAAGUUGCCUCUUCUGACGCAACCAAUAUUGAGUGCUCUAUUAAAAGGUGGAUUUCUCAUCAUGGUUCGUAAAUGGAAUGGACCUUUUUAUCUACUAAAUGGGGUGAAAGUUAUUUUUCGUUUUAGUGACAAAAAAUCUGAUAAAAAUCAGUAGGCAUUAUAUUUCUUUGUUAUCAUGCUUCAUUGUAUAUAAUUAUAUAAUUUAGUUAGAGUUUCUUCUCAGAAUUUUAUGACUGUUAAUGGAUUUCUUGUACAGACAAGGGGAUUCCUAUAUCAUCAAUGGGAACAAGUGGUGGACUAGUGGAGCCAUGGAUCCAAGAUGCAGAGUUCUUAUAGUCAUGGUUAGUUCUUCUAAAAUGGUGUGGCACGAAUAGUUUAUUUGUUGUUCCUGUAGCUGAAGUGGGUGAUCUGAAUCAAUCUGCAGGGAAAAACAGAUUUCUCUGCCGCUAAGCAUAAGCAGCAAUCUAUGAUCUUAGUUGAUAUCAAGACUUCUGGUGUACACAUAAAGAGACCACUCUUGGUGUUUGGCUUUGAUGAUGCACCUCAUGGGCAUGCAGAAAUUUCAUUUGAGAAUGUGUGUGUACCCGCAAAGAAUAUUCUGCUAGGAGAAGGACGCGGAUUUGAGAUUGCCCAGGUACAGUUGUUCUAUGCAUUUCACUAUCACAGGGAAGUCUGUCCUGAUUAAAAUUUUUAUUAGGAGUGUAUAUACAUGUCCUGAACACAGCAGCAUGAAGAUGAAAAGAACAUGGUAGAAUUUAGUUUUUUGGCUUCUAUAGAUUGAUAACAGCUGUGCAUUGCAGUUAUUAGACCGGUUCUGUGAGUGGAUUUACGCUGGGGACUGCAUUGUUAUUUGUGCAGGCAUACAAUUUGAAUAUUUCAUCUCCUUUUGCUUCUCUUUACUUACUUACAGGGUAGACUAGGCCCAGGAAGGCUGCACCAUUGCAUGAGACUGAUAGGUGCAGCUGAGCGUGGCAUGCAGCUGAUGGCUGAGAGGGCUCUUAGUAGAAAAGCAUUUGGAAAGUUUAUUGCUCAGCACGGUUCUUUUCUUUCAGAGAUGGCCAAGGUGAUCUAAGUUAGCUCCAGAUUUGGGAAAAAUUAUCAAAAUUCUACUGUUCUACCUCUGAGGGGAAAUUAAUUUUGUGAUCUGAAAGUGAAUUUGGUAACCAAACUGAUCUUUGUUACCGGUGGUGUCAUGCAGUGCCGAAUAGAGCUGGAGAGGACCAGAUUGUUAGUUCUCGAGGCAGCUGACCAGCUGGAUCGCCUUGGAAACAAAAAAGCUCGUGGAACCAUUGCAAUGGCAAAGGUAACUGAUGUGCCUUCUAAUUUGAUUAUUGUUUAAUCAGAUCCUGGUUUAUUGGUUUAUUUAUAUCAAUCACCCGUAUUGUGUGAAAUUUCUUUGAUGCAUGGACCAGGUAGCAGCUCCAAACAUGGCACUGAAAGUGCUGGACAUGGCAAUGCAAGUGCACGGUGCGGCUGGCUUUUCAACCGACACUGUUCUGUCACAUCUCUGGGCCACAGCAAGAACUUUGAGAGUUGCAGAUGGACCUGAUGAUGUCCACUUGGGGACCAUUGCCAAGUUAGAGUGAUGUUUUACAUUCUCAAGUUCGGUGAUCUGGUUAGAAAUCUUAUCUCAAUCACUCUAUGCAAUUUCAUAUCUCCAGUAAUCUAAGCAAAUCAUGGACUUUCUUGUGCUUUCAGUACACCAUAUGUGCUAGAACAAUUUUCUCAACUGCUGACAAAAGUAUAUCCGCAAUGAAUUUAAAGCUUCUAAUUGUGUUAGACACAAAGUUCAGUUCAUUAAAUUUAAUAAUCUGCUUGAUGGUUUAAGACUGAAAUAUUAUAAACUGUCCUAUGUGAUUUUGAUUCUGGCAAAGUCCAUCCGGCCAGCUGUUGAUGAGCAGCACUGAGCUUCAUCUGCUAAAGCAGCUUUCUACUUUGUUACUCUUUAUGUGCUUAUGUAUGAAGUUGCUACUGUUGUUUUUAACUCUUUUUCAUUAUGUAUUAAAUAAUGUGGAAACUCCCUGUUGACGAGUAUCAAGCCAUAAGCAACAACAAUGAACGACCAACAGCUUAGAUAGGAGUUGCUAUUCUAACAUUCAGCGUGAAUUUUUAUAAUGGCAAAACUAUAGAAUCACAAACUCUUGUAUUUAUUAGGGGUGUUAAGAAUUUAAUCUGAUCCGUUCAAUCUGUCUUAUUCAUAGAAAUUCGAUCCAAAAAAUUCGAUCUGUGGAUUUGUGGAUUGGACUUGAUUAAAAAUUUGAUCAUCCGCAAUCGAUAGAUUGGAUAUGUAUCUACUUCUACAAAUUCGUAAAAAUCUGUGAAUCUGUAAAAAAAUAAAAAGUAUUUAUUUAAUUAAAAUAUAAGUUAAAAUAUGGUAUUAGUACUUACUAGUAAAUAAAUAAGUUAAAAUAUAGUUACAUUAAAAUUAUAUUAUAUAUUAUCCGAUAAUAAUAUAAAAUAUAAAAUAAUUAAAUAAACAAAUAUAAUUUUCAUGUACUGAUCUAAACGAAUGAAUUUUUUUUUCGUUUUGGUGGGUUGUGUUAUGAAACUUUAAAUGUAUUUUCUAGUUUUAUUUAAACAAUUAAUUUAUUUAAAUCUUAUUUAAUUUUUAAUUUAAUCGGCAAUAAAAUUAUUUUUAUAUUAAAAAUUUUUUAUUUAGUUAGUUCGUGGAUUGGACAGUAUUAAAAUUUUUUAGUUCGCAAAAUGGUGGAUUAGAUAUACAUUAGGUUAAAUCCUCAUUUAAUCCGCAGAUGUAUGAAUUGGAUUUUGAUAGUGGAUUGGACAAUAUUAAAAAAUUUUAGUCUGCAAAUCAAUCUGUAAAAUUGUGGAUUGGAUAUGGAUUGGGUUAAAUCCUCAUUUGAUCUGUAGAUGUAUGAAUUGAAUUUGAAUUGAAUUUCACAAAUUCAUGAAUUGGAUUGAAUUGAAAAUUUAUAAUUCGCCAAAUUAUAGAUCGAAUAUGGAUUGAGAUCCAAUCCGUAAAAUCUGAUCCGCGAACACACCUAAUAUUUAUAAAUAAACUUGUUCAGGUUUGAUGUGGUAAUUAAUAAUUUUUUGAAUUAAAAAAAAAAAAGAAAUCAUUUGAUCCUAUUAUAAUUUUAAUUCAAUAUUAUUUCCAUAAAACUGUUAACUGUAUUAUUUUGAUUCAUAAACUAUGUUUCUAUAACCCCGACAGCAUCUCGCCUAAAAAGUAUCUCAAACCUCGAAAGUUUCUUAAAACAGAAAAUUUUAUCCAAAACAAACAUCACGUCACGCGACUCAUAACGGCGCGUCAGCACCACCCGCAACAUCCAUUUCCUCACUCGAGCGACGCAUUCAACUCCAAUAAACUACUACAACAAUGUUAUAAUAAAAUAUAUACAGAUAUAUUAUAUUAUAUCUCGAGAUAAUGAUGAGAACAAAACCUUUCCACUCCAAUCACUUGAUUAAUUCAUUUGAAGCUCUCAUUGUUUGUUAUUUUAGCGUUGAUUGCGUAUACGGCGAGAUCGAGAAAUCAAUUCAUCAUGGCGAGCCGAACAGGUGAUCUAGUGAGCCCAUUCCAGCCAGCUCACCAGCUCGACCUCGAUGCUUUGCUCCGUUACGCCUCCGUUAACGUCCCUGACUUCCCGCGCUCUCCUUCUAAAUUCACUAUUUCUCAGGUAUUUGUUUGUUUUUAAUUUAUUUAUUUAUCUGUGUUUUUGAGUUUUAAUUAAUUAUUUAUUUAUUU
RNAcentral lists this long non-coding RNA (8384 nucleotides) under Citrus sinensis (sweet orange). Its description in RNAcentral is "long non-coding RNA (CSIN_LNC003737)". The record is from RNAcentral. Lineage: Eukaryota; Viridiplantae; Streptophyta; Magnoliopsida; Sapindales; Rutaceae.